AAGGAUCGGCUAACUCCGUGCCAGCAGCCGCGGUAAUACGGAGGAUCCAAGCGUUAUCCGGAUUCAUUGGGUUUAAAGGGUCCGUAGGCGGAUCUUUAAGUCAGUGGUGAAAGCCGACAGCUCAACUGUCGAACUGCCAUUGAUACUGGAAACCUUGAGUACAAAUGAAGUAGGCGGAAUGAGUCAUGUAGCGGUGAAAUGCAUAGAUAUGACUCAGAACACCGAUUGCGAAGGCAGCUUACUAACAUGUAACUGACGCUGAGGGACGAAAGCGUGGGGAGCGAACAGGAUUAGAUACCCUGGUAGUCCACGCCGUAAACGAUCAUCACUCGCUGUUGGCGAUAUACUGUCAGCGGCCAAGCGAAAGUA
RNAcentral lists this ribosomal RNA (369 nucleotides) under uncultured bacterium. Its description in RNAcentral is "bacterial SSU rRNA". It matches the Rfam family "Bacterial small subunit ribosomal RNA", at positions 488 to 859 of the family's 1533-position model. The record is from RNAcentral.